CCUACGGGAGGCAGCAGUGAGGAAUAUUGGACAAUGGGCGCAAGCCUGAUCCAGCCAUGCCGCGUGCAGGAAGACGCAUCUAUGGUGUGUAAACUGCUUUUGUACAGGAAGAAACACUCCCUCGUGAGGGAGCUUGACGGUACUGUAAGAAUAAGGAUCGGCUAACUCCGUGCCAGCAGCCGCGGUAAUACGGAGGAUCCAAGCGUUAUCCGGAAUCAUUGGGUUUAAAGGGUCCGUAGGCGGUUUAAUAAGUCAGUGGUGAAAUCUGGUCGCUCAACGAUCAAACGGCCAUUGAUACUGUUAGACUUGAAUUAUAAGGAAGUAACUAGAAUAUGUAGUGUAGCGGUGAAAUGCUUAGAUAUUACAUGGAAUACCAAUUGCGAAGGCAGGUUACUACUUAUGGAUUGACGCUGAUGGACGAAAGCGUGGGGAGCGAACAGGAUUAGAUACCCUGGUAGUCCACGCCGUAAACGAUGGAUACUAGCUGUUGGGCGCAAGUUCAGUGGCUAAGCGAAAAGUGAUAAGUAUCCCACCUGGGGAGUACGUUGCAAGAANGAAAACUNAAAUGAAGUAGAGAGNGAGAGAGACGAGACGACACGAGGGAGAGG
This 608-nucleotide ribosomal RNA is filed under the name uncultured bacterium. Its description in RNAcentral is "bacterial SSU rRNA". It matches the Rfam family "Bacterial small subunit ribosomal RNA", at positions 338 to 950 of the family's 1533-position model. The record is from RNAcentral.